AGUGAACGCUGGCGGCGUGCUUAACACAUGCAAGUCGAACGAGAACGGAUUAUAGCUUGCUAUAAUUGUCAGCUAAGUGGCGCACGGGUGAGUAAUGUAUAGGUAGUAUGCCUCUUACUAAGGGAUAACAAAUGGAAACGUUUGCUAAUACCUUAUACUCCUUAUUAACAUAAGUUAAUAAGGGAAAGAUUUAUUGGUAAGAGAUUAGCCCGUAUUGUAUCAGUUAGUUGGUGGGGUAAUGGCUUACCAAGACUAUGACACAUAACUGGUUUGAGAGGGUGAUCAGUCACACUGGAACUGAGACACGGUCCAGACUCCUACGGGAGGCAGCAGUGGGGAAUAUUGCACAAUGGACGAAAGUCUGAUGCAGCAACGCCGCGUGGAGGAUGACACAUUUCGGUGCGUAAACUCCUUUUAUAUGAGAAGAUAAUGACGGUAUUAUAUGAAUAAGCACCGGCUAACUCCGUGCCAGCCGCCGCGGUAA
Molecule: ribosomal RNA, 484 nt
Filed under: uncultured bacterium
Lineage: Bacteria
Description: partial 16S ribosomal RNA
Rfam family: Bacterial small subunit ribosomal RNA
Source: RNAcentral